This 22-nucleotide microRNA is filed under the name Picea abies (Norway spruce). RNAcentral's name for it is "pab-miR3701h". The record is from miRBase by way of RNAcentral. Lineage: Eukaryota; Viridiplantae; Streptophyta; Pinopsida; Pinales; Pinaceae.
CGAAGGGUCGGACUUGUUUAGC